This 21-nucleotide microRNA is filed under the name Mus musculus (house mouse). Its description in RNAcentral is "mmu-miR-7082-5p". The record is from miRBase by way of RNAcentral. Lineage: Eukaryota; Metazoa; Chordata; Mammalia; Rodentia; Muridae.
UACGGGCAGGAGGAGGGGAGG